AGGGCACCACCAGGAGUGGAGCCUGCGGCUUAGUUUGACUCAACACGGGAAAACUCACCCGGCCCGGACACUGGAAGGAUUGACAGAUUGAGAGCUCUUUCUUGAUUCAGUGGGUGGUGGUGCAUGGCCGUUCUUAGUUGGUGGAGUGAUUUGUCUGGUUAAUUCCGAUAACGAACGAGACUCUAGCCUACUAAAUAGAUAGUCGGCUUACAAACGUCGACUAGACUUCUUAGAGGGACAGGCGGUGAUUCAACCGCACGAAACAGAGCAAUAACAGGUCUGUGAUGCCCUUAGAUGUCCGGGGCCGCACGCGCGCUACACUGAAGUGAUCAGCGUGCUUUUUCAGCCUACUCUGUCAAGAGUGGGAAACCCAAUGAACCUUCUUCGUGAUUGGGAUAGGGGAUUGUAAUUAUUCCCCUUGAACGAGGAAUUCCCAGUAAGCGCGAGUCAUAAGCUCGCGUUGAUUACGUCCCUGCCCUUUGUACACACCGCCCGUCGCUACUACCGAUUGAAUGUUUU
RNAcentral lists this ribosomal RNA (519 nucleotides) under uncultured eukaryote. Its description in RNAcentral is "SSU rRNA". It matches the Rfam family "Eukaryotic small subunit ribosomal RNA", at positions 1161 to 1699 of the family's 1831-position model. The record is from RNAcentral.